Molecule: ribosomal RNA, 737 nt
Filed under: uncultured bacterium
Lineage: Bacteria
Description: bacterial SSU rRNA
Rfam family: Bacterial small subunit ribosomal RNA
Source: RNAcentral
GGCGGACGGGUGAGUAAUGCGUGGGAACGUGCCCUUUUCUGCGGGAUAGCCACUGGAAACGGUGAGUAAUACCGCAUACGCCCUUUGGGGGAAAGAUUUAUCGGAGAAGGAUCGGCCCGCGUUAGAUUAGGUAGUUGGUGGGGUAAUGGCCUACCAAGCCUACGAUCUAUAGCUGGUUUUAGAGGAUGAUCAGCCACACUGGGACUGAGACACGGCCCAGACUCCUACGGGAGGCAGCAGUGGGGAAUCUUAGACAAUGGGGGCAACCCUGAUCUAGCCAUGCCGCGUGAGUGAUGCAGGCCCUAGGGUCGUAAAGCUCUUUCGCCAGGGAUGAUAAUGACAGUACCUGGUAAAGAAACCCCGGCUAACUCCGUGCCAGCAGCCGCGGUAAUACGGAGGGGGUUAGCGUUGUUCGGAAUUACUGGGCGUAAAGCGCGCGUAGGCGGAUUGGAAAGUUGGGGGUGAAAUCCCGGGGCUCAACCCCGGAACGGCCUCCAAAACUCCCAGUCUUGAGUUCGAGAGAGGUGAGUGGAAUUCCGAGUGUAGAGGUGAAAUUCGUAGAUAUUCGGAGGAACACCAGUGGCGAAGGCGGCUCACUGGCUCGAUACUGACGCUGAGGUGCGAAAGUGUGGGGAGCAAACAGGAUUAGAUACCCUGGUAGUCCACACCGUAAACGAUGAAUGCCAGUCGUCGGGUAGCAUGCUGCUCGGUGACACACCUAACGGAUUAAGCAUCCG